GUCCACAUGAAGAGUCCCGAAUAGGACGAAAUGCGCAUCCUGGAU
Molecule: non-coding RNA, 45 nt
Organism: Trichobilharzia regenti
Lineage: Eukaryota; Metazoa; Platyhelminthes; Trematoda; Strigeidida; Schistosomatidae
Source: Rfam